Molecule: ribosomal RNA, 388 nt
Filed under: uncultured bacterium
Lineage: Bacteria
Description: bacterial SSU rRNA
Rfam family: Bacterial small subunit ribosomal RNA
Source: RNAcentral
GACGAACGCUGGCGGCGUGCUUAACACAUGCAAGUCGAGCGGUAAGGCCCUUUCGGGGGUACACGAGCGGCGAACGGGUGAGUAACACGUGGGUGACCUGCCCUCAGCUCUGGGAUAAGCCUGGGAAACCGGGUCUAAUACUGGAUAUGACUCCAUGGCGCAUGUUGGUGGGGUGGAAAGCCUUGUGCGGCUGAGGAUGGGCCCGCGGCCUAUCAGCUUGUUGGUGGGGUGANGGCCUACCAAGGCGACGACGGGUAGCCGGCCUGAGAGGGCGACCGGCCACACUGGGACUGAGACACGGCCCAGACUCCUACGGGAGGCAGCAGUGGGGAAUCUUGCGCAAUGGGCGAAAGCCUGACGCAGCGACGCCGCGUGAGGGAUGACGGCC